GAGGUUUGGCACCUCGAUGUCGGCUCAUCGCAUCCUGGGGCUGAAGUAGGUCCCAAGGGUUGGGCUGUUCGCCCAUUAAAGCGGUACGCGAGCUGGGUUCAGAACGUCGUGAGACAGUUCGGUCCCUAUCUGUCGCGGGCGCAGGAAGUUUGAGGAGAGCUGUCCUUAGUACGAGAGGACCGGGAUGGACGCACCGCUGGUGCACCAGUUGUCACGCCAGUGGCACAGCUGGGUAGCUAUGUGCGGAAGGGAUAAGCGCUGAAAGCAUCUAAGCGUGAAGCCCCCUCCAAGAUGAGACUUCCCACAGCGCAAGCUGGUAAGACCCCUCAUAGACGAUGAGGUUGAUAGGUUCGGUGUGGAAGCGUGGUAACACGUGGAGCUGACGAAUACUAAUCGGUCGAGGACUUAUCCACA
Molecule: ribosomal RNA, 414 nt
Filed under: Brevibacillus invocatus
Lineage: Bacteria; Bacillati; Bacillota; Bacilli; Caryophanales; Paenibacillaceae
Description: bacterial LSU rRNA
Rfam family: Bacterial large subunit ribosomal RNA
Source: RNAcentral